GAUGAACGCUGGCGGCGUGCCUAAUACAUGCAAGUCGAGCGAACAGACGAGGAGCUUGCUCCUCUGACGUUAGCGGCGGACGGGUGAGUAACACGUGGAUAACCUACCUAUAAGACUGGGAUAACUUCGGGAAACCGGAGCUAAUACCGGAUAAUAUAUUGAACCGCAUGGUUCAAUAGUGAAAGACGGUUUUGCUGUCACUUAUAGAUGGAUCCGCGCCGCAUUAGCUAGUUGGUACGGUAACGGCUUACCAAGGCAACGAUGCGUAGCCGACCUGAGAGGGUGAUCGGCCACACUGGAACUGAGACGCGGUCCAGGCUCCUACGGGAGGCAGCAGUAGGGAAUCUUCCGCAGUGGGCGAAAGCCUGACGGAGCAACGCCGCGUGAGUGAUGAAGGUCUUCGGAUCGUAAAACUCUGUUAUUAGGGAAGAACAAAUGUGUAAGUAACUAUGCACGUCUUGACGGUACCUAAUCAGAAAGCCACGGCUAACUACGUG
This 497-nucleotide ribosomal RNA is filed under the name uncultured bacterium. RNAcentral describes it as "partial 16S ribosomal RNA". It matches the Rfam family "Bacterial small subunit ribosomal RNA", at positions 28 to 507 of the family's 1533-position model. The record is from RNAcentral.